AAGUCCCAAAAAUCAUUCAAUACUGCAUUAAUUCCAGAUUUCCAGGAAAAAAACCAAGAAACAACAACUGAGGACCAACAAAGAAGUCUGGAAAUGUUUCCAGAUUUCAACCGACCCAGAGACCCACAUCACCAUAGUCAUCCUUUCAAACACAAACCAAACACCAUGCCCAUCAGAUCGUGAGCUAUCUCCACCAUAUCCCAGCCUUUAUAAACAUCAUCAUCUUCCUUACCUUAUAUUAACCCAAAAUAAAC
RNAcentral lists this long non-coding RNA (254 nucleotides) under Populus trichocarpa (black cottonwood). RNAcentral describes it as "long non-coding RNA (PTRI_LNC000837)". The record is from RNAcentral. Lineage: Eukaryota; Viridiplantae; Streptophyta; Magnoliopsida; Malpighiales; Salicaceae.